GGACGCGUAGCUCAGUUGGUUAGAGCGACGAGCUUAUGAGGUCGUCUGUGAUCCUCGUAGGUCGGGAGUUCGACUCUCCCCGUGUCCA
Non-coding RNA from Aspergillus lentulus, 88 nucleotides. The record is from Rfam. Lineage: Eukaryota; Fungi; Ascomycota; Eurotiomycetes; Eurotiales; Aspergillaceae.